RNAcentral lists this unclassified non-coding RNA (26 nucleotides) under Mus musculus (house mouse). RNAcentral's name for it is "oocyte_clustered_small_RNA8939". The record is from RNAcentral. Lineage: Eukaryota; Metazoa; Chordata; Mammalia; Rodentia; Muridae.
UGCAUCAGCUCCUGGUUUGUGGCCAG